This 253-nucleotide ribosomal RNA is filed under the name uncultured bacterium. RNAcentral's name for it is "partial 16S ribosomal RNA". It matches the Rfam family "Bacterial small subunit ribosomal RNA", at positions 524 to 776 of the family's 1533-position model. The record is from RNAcentral.
UACGUAGGGGGCAAGCGUUGUCCGGAAUCAUUGGGCGUAAAGCGCGCGUAGGCGGCCCGGUAAGUCCGUUGUAAAAGUCAAAGGCUCAACCUUUGAAAGCCGAUGGAUACUGCCGGGCUAGAAUCCGGAAGAGGCGAGUGGAAUUCCUGGUGUAGCGGUGGAAUGCGCAGAUAUCAGGAGGAACACCAACAGCGAAGGCAGCUCGCUGGGACGGUAUUGACGCUGAGGCGCGAAAGCGUGGGGAGCGAACAGG